RNAcentral lists this RNase P RNA (441 nucleotides) under Alphaproteobacteria bacterium. RNAcentral describes it as "RNase P RNA component class A". It matches the Rfam family "Bacterial RNase P class A". Rfam says of the family: Ribonuclease P (RNase P) is a ubiquitous endoribonuclease, found in archaea, bacteria and eukarya as well as chloroplasts and mitochondria. Lineage: Bacteria; Pseudomonadati; Pseudomonadota; Alphaproteobacteria. RNAcentral also lists the same sequence under 1 other name. The record is from RNAcentral.
CGAGAGGACCUGGGGAACGCCGGUACGCUUCGGCGUACGGGAGGAAAGUCCGAGCUCCACAGGGCACGGUGCCGGGUAACGCCCGGUCGGGGUGACCCGGAGGAAAGCGCAACAGAGAGCAGCACGCCAGGCCCUCGGGCCUCCCGGCAGACCCGGAGCCACCCGCGUUCUCGCGGCACGGCCACCGGAGAGCACCGGGGACGACAGUCGGUAAGCGUUGAAACGGUGCGGUAAGAGCGCACCGGCGACCCUGGUGACAGGGUCGGCCAGGUAAACCCCACCAGGAGCAAGACCAGACGUGGAGCGUUCGAGGGCGGCCCGCCCGAGCUCCCGGGUAGGUCGCUCGAGGCCGUCGGCGACGGCGGCCCUAGAUGAAUGUUCUCCGCCCCGAAGCGGGUGACCGCCAGGGGAACAGAACUCGGCUUAUGGGCCUCUCGAACC